This 253-nucleotide ribosomal RNA is filed under the name uncultured bacterium. RNAcentral's name for it is "partial 16S ribosomal RNA". It matches the Rfam family "Bacterial small subunit ribosomal RNA", at positions 524 to 776 of the family's 1533-position model. The record is from RNAcentral.
UACAGAGGUCUCAAGCGUUGUUCGGAUUCAUUGGGCCUAAAGGGUGCGUAGGCGGCGCGGUAAGUCGGGUGUGAAAUCUCGGGGCUUAACUCCGAAACUGCAUUCGAUACUGCCGUGCUUGAGGACUGGAGAGGAGGCUGGAAUUUACGGUGUAGCGGUGAAAUGCGUAGAUAUCGUAAGGAAGACCAGUGGCGAAGGCGGGUCUCUGGACAGUUCCUGACGCUGAGGCACGAAGGUCAGGGGAGCAAACGGG